This 253-nucleotide ribosomal RNA is filed under the name uncultured bacterium. Its description in RNAcentral is "partial 16S ribosomal RNA". It matches the Rfam family "Bacterial small subunit ribosomal RNA", at positions 524 to 776 of the family's 1533-position model. The record is from RNAcentral.
UACGAAGGGGGCUAGCGUUGUUCGGAUUUACUGGGCGUAAAGCGCACGUAGGUGGAUAGUUAAGUGAGGGGUGAAAUCCCAGGGCUCAACCCUGGAACUGCCUUUCAUACUGGCUAUCUUGAGUUCGGAAGAGGUGAGUGGAAUUCCUAGUGUAGAGGUGAAAUUCGUAGAUAUUAGGAAGAACACCGGUGGCGAAGGCGGCUCACUGGUCCGAUACUGACACUGAGGUGCGAAAGCGUGGGGAGCAAACAGG